Molecule: transfer RNA, 83 nt
Filed under: Canis lupus familiaris (dog)
Lineage: Eukaryota; Metazoa; Chordata; Mammalia; Carnivora; Canidae
Also listed under: 1 other name
Rfam family: tRNA
About the family: Transfer RNA (tRNA) molecules are approximately 80 nucleotides in length. Their secondary structure includes four short double-helical elements and three loops (D, anti-codon, and T loops).
Source: Rfam by way of RNAcentral
ACCUGAGUGGCUCAGUGGUUGAGCAUCUGACUUGGACUCAGGUCGUGAUCCCGGGGUCCUGGGAUCAAGUCCCAUAUCAGGCU